This 189-nucleotide ribosomal RNA is filed under the name uncultured bacterium. RNAcentral's name for it is "partial 16S ribosomal RNA". It matches the Rfam family "Bacterial small subunit ribosomal RNA", at positions 1304 to 1500 of the family's 1533-position model. The record is from RNAcentral.
UCUGCAACUCGACUCCAUGAAGCUGGAUUCGCUAGUAAUCGCGCAUCAGCCAUGGCGCGGUGAAUACGUUCCCGGGCCUUGUACACACCGCCCGUCAAGCCAUGGAAGCCGGGAGUGCCUGAAGUGUGCAACCGCAAGGAGCGCCCUAAGGUAAAACUGGUGACUGGGGCUAAGUCGUAACAAGGUAUC